AGACCAAGCUAGUCUAUGCCAAGCUCUCAUCCUUGCGUGCCUUCCCCUGUUAAGGAAAACAAAACUAAAGGGAUGAGCUAAAAUCUCAGUGAGGUUCCGAAUACAUAAUCAAAUAAUCAAUCCAAUACAUUAAACAUAGAGUAUCAAUAAUUCAAGAAACAUUUACCAUGGAAAGCGAUAUUAACACAUACAUUAAAAGGAUACGGGCUCACAAGGAACCAUAAAUUCGUUCGUUUGUUCGUUCUCCUGACAUUUCCCCUUAUUCCUCCAUUCUUUUGAAAAAUGCAUUUUGUAAAUUAAAACUCUCGUUCGUUCUUUCGUUUCAUUCACCCCCUCCUGGACGUUGGCCAGCCUCCACCAACCUACAAGGUAAUACUCGAGUAUACUGACGUUCACACCCAGGGUCACCAUAUCGGCCGACCGAGUCCGCUUCUGGCUCGAGUCGAUCGGUAACGAAGGGCAGGGCCCAGUUCAACCAAAAGGCUUACAUCAUGCGCAACUAAUGUAUUAAUCAUUAAAUCAUUGAAAAUUUCACGUUUCCUUUAGGUCGAGCGUGAUAAAGUACACGCUCGCCUAAAAAAUUCGUUUUGAAAAUCAUUGGAAACAUUUAACACAUUUUCGAACAAUAACACCAAGUCAUGAAGUCAAGGAAGAUAUAACAAACAAGGAACACUCACCUAUUUACGCAAAAUAAUAUCCAAAAUAUCCUUCCGGAUAAUACCGUCAGUCACCAAUGAACCCUAAUAGAAUCAAAAGAAUACAUUAUGCUUCAACCAUCAAAGAUUUAAAUGAUUCAAAGACAAGUCGAAUACGUACUAGUACAAAGUAUAAAUAUGAUUUUGGGUAGUGAAAAGAGUACUUUGAAACCAAAGGACCUAAGUAAAAUAUUUGUAAAACUUAGACUCACUUGUAAAACUUUAAAAUCGCUAUUUGAGCCAAAGUGUCAAAGAAAACGUAAAUACCCUAGAUGGUUCACAUGGUAUUCGCUCUCAAGCCUUACUCAAGUCGCAAGUAUAUCGACCUAGUUCUCGAGCGUAAAUUUGGGCAGCACGCCCUUUGUAUUUACCUAUUUUCCUGUCAUUAUGGCUUCAUUCUUUUCCUCAAUCAAACCCAAAGUCAUAUACAGAAUCAUCUCAUUUCAAUAGCCAUUCCAUAGGCUCCAAGUCAUACUAGUACAAAAUCAAGCUAGGAGCAUGUGCGGAAAUGAAGGUUGAGUUGGAAAAUAAAAGACAGAUUUGACGUUAUUUUGCGUAACGGACACAACUGAAACUACGCUUAUUGGAUUGGGGUGUAAUUUAUACCGUUUCGAAGCUAAGACAGAGGCCUAUAACUUUGAUGAAGGCUACUCAGUCCAGUUUACAAUGUUUCUAGGUCAAAUUUACCAAAACAACCCCAGAUUUUCCAAUUCGAAGUUUACUGUGGCAGUCCUGAUUCAUUCAGUCAUAUCUCAGCAUAUACAACUCCAAUUCAAGUGAUUCCAAAGCCAUUUGAAAGCUAAGAUACAAGGCUAUAAGUCUUAAGAAGACAUCGACAACCAAAUCAGUAGUAUUCCUGGUCAAAACAACCAAUUACAGAAGCUGAUUAGCAUGUUCGGAUAGAAACAGGGCAGCAGGGGUAUUUAGGUCUUUUCACAGGCUACGUUGCUCCGAUUGAGCUGAAAUUUUGCAGGCUACCAUAAAACAUUAUUCUCUACAACGUUUAUGUUUUGUGCUAAGGCCAAAUCGGCCUCUAACCAGGUGUAACAGUACCAGCAGAAUUGGGGAAAAAAUGAAACCCUAAUCUGGAAUUCAUGCAUUCAAGUGCUAAUCUUCCACAAAAAAACAUCUAAAACAACUAAAAACCACUAAUCACCAAUUAAUUGAAGUAAAGAGGAAGUUCUUGGCAAAAUACCUUAAAACCCCAAGAAAGUUGGUAGCUUAGUGCUUCCCUUUCCAAAACAACUCCACCAAUCCUUCUUAAUUCUUUCUAGCAAGAAGUUUUAUGGAGUAAUUUAAGAUGCUAAUGGUUGGAACUCAAGAUUGGGCAAGAAAUUGAAGAUGCAAGAUGAAAGGUUUUGCUUGAUGUUUCCUCUCCAAGGUUCGGCC
This 2084-nucleotide long non-coding RNA is filed under the name Coffea arabica (coffee). RNAcentral's name for it is "long non-coding RNA (CARA_LNC001935)". The record is from RNAcentral. Lineage: Eukaryota; Viridiplantae; Streptophyta; Magnoliopsida; Gentianales; Rubiaceae.